GCGGUUGUGGCUUAAUGGCAGAGUACUCACCUAGCAUAUGUGAGGCACUGGGUUCAAACCUCAGCACCACA
RNAcentral lists this transfer RNA (71 nucleotides) under Marmota monax (woodchuck). Its description in RNAcentral is "tRNA.Ala". Lineage: Eukaryota; Metazoa; Chordata; Mammalia; Rodentia; Sciuridae. The record is from RNAcentral.